GGCCUCCUGUCCCGCGACGGUUCCUCGUCGACGAGGAUCAAAAGGGAACGCGGUGAGGGUGUGAGCCCGAGGCCGCGGCUGCCCCCGCAACUGUGAGCGGCGAGCCCCUCAUCAGCACGUCACUGGGCCUGUCCGGCCUGGGAAGACGAUGAGAGGGCGGUGACCCGCGAGCCAGGAGACCUGCCGUCAGUCGUGGUCACAC
RNAcentral lists this non-coding RNA (202 nucleotides) under Methylobacterium sp. The record is from RNAcentral. Lineage: Bacteria; Pseudomonadati; Pseudomonadota; Alphaproteobacteria; Hyphomicrobiales; Methylobacteriaceae.